GCCUGGGUGGCUCAGUCGGUUAAGCGUCUGACUUCGGCUCAGGUCAUGAUCUCACAGUUUGUGGGUUCGAGCCCCACAUCGGGCU
Molecule: transfer RNA, 85 nt
Filed under: Felis catus (domestic cat)
Lineage: Eukaryota; Metazoa; Chordata; Mammalia; Carnivora; Felidae
Rfam family: tRNA
About the family: Transfer RNA (tRNA) molecules are approximately 80 nucleotides in length. Their secondary structure includes four short double-helical elements and three loops (D, anti-codon, and T loops).
Source: Rfam by way of RNAcentral